Molecule: ribosomal RNA, 468 nt
Filed under: uncultured bacterium
Lineage: Bacteria
Description: partial 16S ribosomal RNA
Rfam family: Bacterial small subunit ribosomal RNA
Source: RNAcentral
GACGAACGCUGGCGGCGUGCUUAACACAUGCAAGUCGAACGGAAAGGCCCUGCUUUUGUGGGGUGCUCGAGUGGUGAACGGGUGAGUAACACGUGAGUAACCUGCCCUUGACUUUGGGAUAACUUCAGGAAACUGGGGCUAAUACCGGAUAGGAGCUCCUGCUGCAUGGUGGGGGUUGGAAAGUUUCGGCGGUUGGGGAUGGACUCGCGGCUUAUCAGCUUGUUGGUGGGGUAGUGGCUUACCAAGGCUUUGACGGGUAGCCGGCCUGAGAGGGUGACCGGCCACAUUGGGACUGAGAUACGGCCCAGACUCCUACGGGAGGCAGCAGUGGGGAAUAUUGCACAAUGGGCGAAAGCCUGAUGCAGCAACGCCGCGUGCGGGAUGACGGCCUUCGGGUUGUAAACCGCUUUCGCCUGUGACGAAGCGUGAGUGACGGUAAUGGGUAAAGAAGCACCGGCUAACUACGUG